The sequence is a transfer RNA, 68 nucleotides long. It matches the Rfam family "tRNA". Rfam says of the family: Transfer RNA (tRNA) molecules are approximately 80 nucleotides in length. Their secondary structure includes four short double-helical elements and three loops (D, anti-codon, and T loops).
GAGAUGAAGCUCAUGGUCGAGCGUCGGGGAUGAAAUCCCGAAGGUAUCGGUUCGAAUCCGGUCUCUCA